CUUAGAUAAACAAAUUCAAUCUAGAGAAGGAGGUUUAAAAAAAACUCUUUUAGUUAAGUUGUCCACAUUUUGUACCACAAGAUGGCGGUAAUGCACUAGUUUGUUUCUGUUCCGAAGAAGAGGAGGAAUUCCUGUUAGUAAAGCCAGUAGAACCUGUUCUAAGACGUCACAUGCAGCAGUUUUUAAUCAAAUAAAUGGAGCUAAAAGUUUAGACAAUUGUCCAAAAGAAUUGCCGUUGGUGUAUUUCCUGCUUUAUCGACCCUUUUCCUCGAUUUGUAAGAUCUUUUGUCUUUUCUUGGCAGCCUCAGUGUGGAUCAUCAGCUGACCGUUGGGCUGUCUGAGGUGGAACAGCUUCCUUCCCUUCUUCACCCACUGCAGCAGGAAUGACCUGAAGGAUGUCUUGGUGAUGGAAGACCUGCACCACGUCCACCUGCAGCAUCCAGACAUGAAGUCCAUCUUAUUGAACGUCACCCAAAGCUGCAGGCUGAAGGCUGCUGUCAAUCCAGGAAGCCCAACGAAGCCCACAGCGACGUAAACCAAGAACCUGAAACAUGAACAGACUUGAGAACAGCUCACUGUCCAGUUUAUGGUCCUGCUAUUUAAACUGUCUCACACAUGAUGAAUGGUGGCUCCUGGUCUUUACCUUCUUAUCGACUGCUUCAGUUACUUUUUCCAGCUCUGCAUGACAGCCAACCUACAUUCUGUUUCUCUGUCUUCACUGUGAAUGUAAAGGCAGCUUUUAUUCCUUCACUCAGUUUACAGGCUGCAGCCGUAUAUGAAAUAUUGUUUUAAUAUUGUGGUUUCUCAUGUUUACAAUCUCUGUAUCAUCUAUCAAUCAACUGUAACUUUUUUACUAAAAAAUAUGCUGUACUUGAAAUUUAGCCCUUUUUUCAUGAUGUAGACUUAUGUUGUGACAGUAUUUACUCUCUACUGUAAGUUGUGCACUACAUUAUUAAUUAUUUUAUACUUCUGUCCUGUUCAAAUUUGUUUAAAUUAAUGCAGUUUCUAAACUGCAAUGAAGGUAUGAAUUAUCAUAUGUAAUAAAUGUGACCAAGAGCAGCAUGUAAAGUAUUAUAAUUAAGAUAAUCUUAAUGCAAUGAGAUGAUUAUACAGUACUACACUGAAGCCGUUGCUAGAACUUAGAAUUCAUUUAUAAGGCUAUUUAAUGUUAGAUUUAAUCGACAUUGUAUACUGGAAGGAUUUAAUGUUGUUUUUGCACACUCAUAAUAAAGG
Molecule: long non-coding RNA, 1233 nt
Organism: Amphiprion ocellaris (clown anemonefish)
Lineage: Eukaryota; Metazoa; Chordata; Actinopteri; Pomacentridae
Source: Ensembl